Pelodiscus sinensis (Chinese soft-shelled turtle) is the source of this 2288-nucleotide non-coding RNA. Lineage: Eukaryota; Metazoa; Chordata; Testudines; Trionychidae. The record is from RefSeq and is a predicted model, not a curated record.
CACAACCAGAGGAAGCAGGCGGACAGCUGGAGUCUGCAGGGCUCGGAAGUCCGGAGGAUGCAGCGCCGCUUUGUGCGGUCUCGGAGGAAGAGAAAGUGGGAGUGAGGGUGUGAGGUGGGGAGGGGCUUGGGCGGAGCCUGCUGCUCAUGAAACAGAGCUGCGGAGCCGGCAGGGCAGCAUUCACAUGGCUGGAGAGCAGCUGCUGGGUGCAGGGGGGCGCCAGUGCAGGAGCAGGAGGGGGCUUGGGUGCGGCGAUUGAGCGGGGCAGAGGUGGUGUCAGUGUCCCAGGACGAGCACCUCGGCGAUCUGCGCCCCUUGUCCCCAAGACCCAUGCUACUCGGGGCUCUGUAGCGCUGUCCUCCCAUCUCCUGGCGACGGGCCAGCAUCGCCUGCAGGACACAGCCUCUCCCAGGGCUAAGCUGCUGUCAUUGGAUCCACGGGUGCUGUGCUGGGGACGCUCGGGUCCUGGAUUGUGACCGGGUCCUGGGAGCGCCACAGCCAGGGGGUCGCUCCGCCGUCCCCCCGCACUGGAAUCUCCCGCGGGGCAGCAUGUUUGUGUUAGCUGGGCCACGGGACUCUUCACUUGGGCAAAACUGAGGAGGCAGAACCAGUGAUGCAGCUUCUCGGCAGCUUCUUGAGACUUCUUGUGGCUCUCGCGCUGCAGGCACCACCCGCUCAGCAGUGGGACAGAUUCAGCAGAAAUAUUACCUCAGAAGCGCAAGUACUGCCCUUCCAGGAGGUUUGGGGGCGCAGCUUCUGUCGGCCCUUGGAAAUGCUGGUGGAUAUUGUGUCCGAGUACCCCAGUGAGAUGGAGCACAUGUUCAGCCCUUCCUGUAUUUCCCUGCAACGCUGCACUGGCUGCUGUGGAGAUGAGACACUGCAGUGUGUCCCAGUGGAGACAGCCAACAUCACCAUGCAGCUCCUGAAGAUGAAGCCAGCGGGGCAGGUGCCCUAUGUGGAGCUGUCCUUUACUGAGCACAGGCAGUGCGAGUGCAGGCCUCGGCGGACUACAAUGAAGUUAGGAAGGAGGAGACCCAAGGGCCAAGGCAAGAGGAGACGAGAGAAGCAGCGACCUAAAGGCUGUGAUCAGUGAGUGGCUGUUGAUCCAGGAGGAGGGGCCAGGGCAGUGGCUCUUGCCAGAAGCUUCUCUCAGUUGUGGUCCUUUGGCUGCAGCUUGCUGCACAAAUUAGGCUCAUGGAAAAUGCACCAACAUCUGGCGUGAAACUGCUGCAUCCCAACACACAGGGGCUGAUACAGACCUGGGCCUGCCUCUGCCAUCUUUCCUGGGGAUUUCAAAGUACUUUUCAAACAUAAAUUAAACCCUCCUGAUCCCUGACCCCAGUUCUGCUCCACUGGAAGGUGUGCCAUUCCACGCAGUUAGUCAUCUCAGCAGGAGAGGGCAGGACCACAGCACCUGAACUUAUUACGUAAUUGCCUGUACGUAUGCACCAAUUGCAUUCUUGACUGAACCUUGUAGGACUUUGUGGCUGCUUGCAACCUAGGAGCUGUGGUCCUCCGAGCAGACAAGAAGCAGUGAGGUGAGCAACAGGACAAGCGCAUGGGCCCUUUUGCAGGAGAAGAUAAUCUGGACUCCUGCUGGCUGCCUGCAGGGAUCCAACACCAGGAUGAGGGGAACUUAGCUGAAUUAGGGGCAGACACCCCUCAACCUGCCUGGCUUCUCCCUUAAGGGCCUCCCUUGACUCUGCACAGUUCACAUUAAUGGUUAAAGGACCCAGGAGCCAGAUUCAGGACUAAAAUACUGCAUAAUGAGGCUCUGAGGUCCUAGGCUUUGCAUUCAGCACUCUGCCAGAGGACAGCAGGGGCCGAGUUCUGCAAACAUGGGAAUGUUUUUGUGGCCUUUGCAGCUAGAGGAGGAUCCCAAAGGGUGGAGCAGGACAGUGCAGAACCUCCAGGAAGUGCCAGUCCACAGGGUGCCACUUUGGGAACACUUUCUGCUGUUGUCACCCACAGGAGUCUUAUGCUGCCACCCCCACUUUUGCAGAGCAAGCCUGCUCCCAAGUUGUCAGUGUGUGGAGGGUACCACACAGUCAUGAAGGAAGAAACCUGGUCCCCUGUGGGGAAUCCAAAUUCUGGCGCAGGAAAGAAGUAGAGAAGCUGCAGUGAAGCAUGGAGGCAGGUGACCUGGGACUUAUUCGCUGUGGAAGUUCCCUGGGUGGGUUAGGGUGUGAUAGAGAGUCCCAAACUGUAUGACAUGACACCCCCAGUACCUUGGCUGCAGCACAGCGAUUUUCAAGCUAAGUCCUGAAUAAAAUCUUAUCAUAGUGACA